AAAUAAUUAAAUAUAUAAAUAGAAGGAUGCUACAGAGUUCUAAUUGAUGACUAAAAUUGUGGUAAGCAACAGAUCCUAAUUAAGGUUUAUCACAUCGAUACAAUGUUUUGGGAUUUUUAAAUCUCUAAAACAGCACAACAAUUGAAUCAUCAAAAUUACACAAAAUUACUUACAAGAAUGAUAAUUUAUGAUUAUCAAAACACAAUUUAGUGAAGCCAUUAUUAGCCUGAGGACGCUUCAAUUUCAGAAGAUGAGAUAGACCUGCAAUUUCAUGUAGCCGACUGUCUUUGCCAACGCCCUCCUGUUUUUGUCCAACACUUCAACACUUGUUAAUAACCUUUUCUAGCUAAUUUUGCUCCACUAUGCAGAUGUCUUGAUUCAUCAGAUGCCAUAAAGGAAUUUCCUGAACAAGUUGAGGCAAUGGAACUGGCUUGUGAACAAGAAACUCUCUACACACUUGCUGCAUUGUUGGUCGAGAUUUUGGGUUGAAUCGCAGACAUGCUAGUGCUAAUGUGACCACAAGAAUCACACUUUGAGCAACCACGCUGUUGGUGGGAGGAAGGAGACGUGAAUCAAACACAUCUUUCAACAUUAUGUGUGGAUCUGAUGGUGAUGAUGGUAAUGAGGAAAGAAGUUCUCCAGGAUGCUUUCCCAUAACUAUUUCCAGUGCUACCACUCCAAAGCUAUACACAUCGCAUUUUUCAUUCACGACCAUAGUAUAUGCAAGCUCUGGAGCAAUAUAUCCAUGCGUGCCAGCAAGUAUAGUUUGGUUGGAUGAAUCAGGAUAAAGAAAUCUUGCUGUUCCAAAAUCAGAUACAAUACCCUCCCAAUCAGAGUUCAACAAAAUGUUGUUGCUUGAUAUGUCUCGAUGAACAAUUGGUGUGCUACAAUCAUGAUGCAAGUAUGAUAAAGCAUAUGCCAUUCCUUUCACAAUGUUCACCCUUUUCAUCCAAUCUAAUUCCGCAGCUUCUUCCUCAUUUCUUAGUACACAGAAUAAACUUCCCCUUUCGAUGUACUCAUAAAUCAAGAACAUUGAUCUUCGAUGUAAACAGAAACCAUGCAGCUUGACAAUGUUCUUGUGACGAAUUUCUGUUAACAGUUUCACCUCAUUCUUGAAACAUUUGUCAAAACUUGGCUCCUCUGCUUCCAUUCUGUGGAGUUUCUUCAAGGCAAUUACUCUGCCGCUAGGAAGUUGUGCCUUAUAAACACUCCCAUAGCCACCAGUUCCAAUGCAGCAUCUAAUGUCGAAAUUGUCAGUUGCUUCAAUGACAUCUUCAAAGGCAAUCCUGCCAUCAUAGUUCCAUACUGAGAAUAUGUCCCCAUUUCUUGAUUCUUUUGUCUCAGUUUGUGAAUUCUUGAUCUUGUGCCGACGAUAGAGGAAUAAUGAUCCGGGAAUCAAGAAGGCAAGAAACAAGGUAAUGGGAAGAAAGAUCUUUGAAUAGUGCAUCCACUUAUUUGAGUUUGCAGAGCCAAUGCUUGCUGGGGGUGAAAAGCAAACAUUAUUUAUUUCGUCUCUGUAUAAACCCUUGUUGCCGACAAAACUAUCAAUGGGAAAGCGUCUACUCAAAUUACACGGAAUUGGACCAGUGAAAUUGUUAAAUGAAAAAUUGAUUUUAUGAAGGGAAGCAUCAAAGUCAGGAAUGGUGCCAGUAAGAUUAUUGAAGCUUAAAUCCAGAAGUCCCAAGUGCUGCAAGGACACUGCCUGAGUAGGUAUCUCUCCACUGAUUAAGUUAUGGCUGAGAUUUAAAGUGUUUAACUUGGCCAGGUAAUUAAUACCGCGAGGGAUGGGCCCUUCCAAUUUAUUUUGGGAAAGGUCUAAAUGUCGAAGCAUCAAAA
This 1836-nucleotide unclassified non-coding RNA is filed under the name Hevea brasiliensis (rubber tree). Lineage: Eukaryota; Viridiplantae; Streptophyta; Magnoliopsida; Malpighiales; Euphorbiaceae. The record is from RNAcentral.